CCUACGGGGGGCAGCAGUGAGGAAUAUUGGUCAAUGGACGAGAGUCUGAACCAGCCAAGUAGCGUGAAGGAUGACUGCGCUAUGGGUUGUAAACUUCUUUUAUAUGGGAAUAAAAUGUUCCACGUGUGGGAUUUUGUAUGUACCAUAUGAAUAAGGAUCGGCUAACUCCGUGCCAGCAGCCGCGGUAAUACGGAGGAUCCGAGCGUUAUCCGGAUUGAUUGGGUUUAAAGGGAGCGUAGGUGGAUUGUUAAGUCAGUUGUGAAAGUUUGCGGCUCAACCGUAAAAUUGCAGUUGAAACUGGCAGUCUUGAGUACAGUAGAGGUGGGCGGAAUUCGUGGUGUAGCGGUGAAAUGCUUAGAUAUCACGAAGAACUCCGAUUGCGAAGGCAGCUCACUGGACUGCAACUGACACUGAGGCUCGAAAGUGUGGGUAUCAAACAGGAUUAGAUACCCUUGUAGUC
This 460-nucleotide ribosomal RNA is filed under the name uncultured bacterium. RNAcentral describes it as "partial 16S ribosomal RNA". It matches the Rfam family "Bacterial small subunit ribosomal RNA", at positions 338 to 795 of the family's 1533-position model. The record is from RNAcentral.